RNAcentral lists this ribosomal RNA (467 nucleotides) under uncultured bacterium. RNAcentral's name for it is "partial 16S ribosomal RNA". It matches the Rfam family "Bacterial small subunit ribosomal RNA", at positions 28 to 506 of the family's 1533-position model. The record is from RNAcentral.
GACGAACGCUGGCGGCGUGCUUAACACAUGCAAGUCGAACGGAAAGGCCCUGCUUUUGUGGGGUGCUCGAGUGGCGAACGGGUGAGUAACACGUGAGUAACCUGCCCUUGACUUUGGGAUAACUUCAGGAAACUGGGGCUAAUACCGGAUAGGAGCUCCUGCUGCAUGGUGGGGGUUGGAAAGUUUCGGCGGUUGGGGAUGGACUCGCGGCUUAUCAGCUUGUUGGUGGGGUAGUGGCUUACCAAGGCUUUGACGGGUAGCCGGCCUGAGAGGGUGACCGGCCACAUUGGGAGUGAGAUACGGCCCAGACUCCUACGGGAGGCAGCGGGGGGGAAUAUUGCACAAGGGGCGGAAGCCUGAUGCAGCAACGCCGCGGGGGGGAUGACGGCCUUCGGGUUGUAAACCGCUUUCGCCUGUGACGAAGCGUGAGUGACGGUAAUGGGUAAAAAAGCACCGGCAAACUACGG